Molecule: ribosomal RNA, 253 nt
Filed under: uncultured bacterium
Lineage: Bacteria
Description: partial 16S ribosomal RNA
Rfam family: Bacterial small subunit ribosomal RNA
Source: RNAcentral
UACGGGGGGGGCAAGCGUUGUUCGGAAUUACUGGGCGUAAAGGGCUCGUAGGCGGCCAACUAAGUCGGACGUGAAAUCCCCAGGCUCAACCUGGGAACUGCGUCCGAUACUGGAUGGCUUGAAUUCGGGAGAGGGAUGCAGAAUUCCAGGUGUAGCGGUGAAAUGCGUAGAUAUCUGGAGGAAUACCAGUGGCGAAGGCGGCAUCCUGGACCGACAUUGACGCUGAGGAGCGAAAGCUAGGGGAGCAAACGGG